RNAcentral lists this ribosomal RNA (243 nucleotides) under uncultured bacterium. RNAcentral describes it as "partial 16S ribosomal RNA". It matches the Rfam family "Bacterial small subunit ribosomal RNA", at positions 534 to 776 of the family's 1533-position model. The record is from RNAcentral.
GCUAGCGUUGUUCGGAAUUACUGGGCGUAAAGCGCGCGUAGGCGGCUUUGUAAGUUAGAGGUGAAAGCCCGGAGCUCAACUCCGGAACUGCCUUUAAAACUGCAUCGCUUGAAUCCAGGAGAGGUGAGUGGAAUUCCGAGUGUAGAGGUGAAAUUCGUAGAUAUUCGGAAGAACACCAGUGGCGAAGGCGGCUCACUGGACUGGUAUUGACGCUGAGGUGCGAAAGCGUGGGGAGCAAACAGG